GACGAACGCUGGCGGCGUGCCUAAUACAUGCAAGUCGAACGCUUUUUCUUUCACCGGAGCUUGCUCCACCGAAAGAAAAAGAGUGGCGAACGGGUGAGUAACACGUGGGUAACCUGCCCAUAAGAAGGGGAUAACACUUGGAAACAGGUGCUAAUACCGUAUAACGCUAUUUUCCGCAUGGAAGAAAGUUGAAAGGCGCUUUUGCGUCACUGAUGGAUGGACCCGCGGUGCAUUAGCUAGUUGGUGAGGUAACGGCUCACCAAGGCAACGAUGCAUAGCCGACCUGAGAGGGUGAUCGGCCACACUGGGACUGAGACACGGCCCAGACUCCUACGGGAGGCAGCAGUAGGGAAUCUUCGGCAAUGGACGAAAGUCUGACCGAGCAACGCCGCGUGAGUGAAGAAGGUUUUCGGAUCGUAAAACUCUGUUGUUAGAGAAGAACAAGGAUGAGAGUAAACUGUUCAUCCCUUGACGGUAUCUAACCAGAAAGCCACGGCUAACUACGUGCCAGCCGCCGCGGUAA
This 523-nucleotide ribosomal RNA is filed under the name uncultured bacterium. RNAcentral's name for it is "partial 16S ribosomal RNA". It matches the Rfam family "Bacterial small subunit ribosomal RNA", at positions 28 to 523 of the family's 1533-position model. The record is from RNAcentral.